RNAcentral lists this long non-coding RNA (449 nucleotides) under Citrus x clementina. Its description in RNAcentral is "Citrus clementina (C. clementina) long non-coding RNA (CCLE_LNC002724)". Lineage: Eukaryota; Viridiplantae; Streptophyta; Magnoliopsida; Sapindales; Rutaceae. The record is from RNAcentral.
UUUGUUUCUAAAUAGAAAACUAUUUGCUGAAGUCAAUAUAUUGAAAACCAAAGUCCCAAAUUCUCUCUCGUGCGUACCUGGCCAUCCUAAACCUUACUGGUAGCCGGAGAAUGGCGUAAAACGGCAGCGAUCUUCUUCUUCAUCUUAUUCUCUCUCUCAUCGUUUCAGGUAAGCUUGUGAUUAUGAGUUUCUUCUCUUUCUUAGCUUGUAAUUAUAGGUUUUGAUUUCUUUACUUCGUAUUGUAACCAUUAAUGUCAAUUUUUGUCCCGCCGGCAAUAUUUCUUGUUCCUAGAAGUUGAAGCCCUUCUGUUCUUGUUCCAUUGGUGACUUUGCUCACUCAAAUUAAUUUUGUUCUGCGGAAUUUACAAAGUUCAAAUGGAUUCAUUUGAAUUACUAUUGAAUUUAGCUUUAAUUUCAACAUCCAUUCUAAUGUUUUACAAUCAUGUAUU